ACUCCUACGGGAGGCAGCAGUGGGGAAUAUUGCACAAUGGGCGGAAGCCUGAUGCAGCAACGCCGCGUGCGGGAUGACGGCCUUCGGGUUGUAAACCGCUUUCGCCUGUGACGAAGCGUGAGUGACGGUAAUGGGUAAAGAAGCACCGGCUAACUANG
Molecule: ribosomal RNA, 158 nt
Filed under: uncultured Actinomycetes bacterium
Lineage: Bacteria; Bacillati; Actinomycetota; Actinomycetes
Description: uncultured actinobacterium partial 16S ribosomal RNA
Rfam family: Bacterial small subunit ribosomal RNA
Source: RNAcentral